CCUGCACGUCAAGGCAAAUGAAUGACAUCACAUGUGGAAAAAACUAAGAAAGAAUAAUUGUAUAGGUUCAGAGGACAAAGUUAAGGGUUACAAAACCCAUGGUAUAGCUGCAUUGGUAGCUUCAAUAAAUAAUUGAUGAUUAUAGUGGAUUAAUUGAGACAACAAUAAGAACAAACACUGACAGCUACAAUCAUUAAUAACUAAAACCUAUGAGAAAACUCACAUUCCAAUCUAAUGUUGUAACAUCUUUGCUCUUCUCAUU
This 262-nucleotide unclassified non-coding RNA is filed under the name Hevea brasiliensis (rubber tree). Lineage: Eukaryota; Viridiplantae; Streptophyta; Magnoliopsida; Malpighiales; Euphorbiaceae. The record is from RNAcentral.